GACGAACGCUGGCGGCGUGCUUAACACAUGCAAGUCGAGCGGAAAGGCCCUGCUUUUGUGGGGUGCUCGAGUGGCGAACGGGUGAGUAACACGUGAGUAACCUGCCCUUGACUUUGGGAUAACUUCAGGAAACUGGGGCUAAUACCGGAUAGGAGCUCCUGCUGCAUGGUGGGGGUUGGAAAUUUUCGGCGGGUGGGGAUGGACUCGCGGCUUAUCAGCUUGUUGGUGGGGUAGUGGCUUACCAAGGCUUUGACGGGUAGCCGGCCUGGGAGGGUGACCGGCCACAUUGGGACUGAGAUACGGCCCAGACUCCUACGGGAGGCAGCAGUGGGGAAUAUUGCACAAUGGGCGGAAGCCUGAUGCAGCAACGCCGCGUGCGGGAUGACGGCCUUCGGGUUGUAAACCGCUUUCGCCUGUGACGAAGCGUGAGUGACGGUAAUGGGUAAAGAAGCACCGGCUAACUACGUG
Molecule: ribosomal RNA, 468 nt
Filed under: uncultured bacterium
Lineage: Bacteria
Description: partial 16S ribosomal RNA
Rfam family: Bacterial small subunit ribosomal RNA
Source: RNAcentral